This is a ribosomal RNA of 1270 nucleotides. The stretch from base 608 to 1270 matches the Rfam family "Archaeal large subunit ribosomal RNA", at positions 1423 to 2715 of the family's 2987-position model.
UAACCUAUAAUUGAGUAUAAAAUUUAAAUUAUUUUAUUUUUAAAAACAUUUAUAAAUAGAGUAAUGGCGACUGAAAAUUAUUAAAUAUAUCAUGAACUAAGUACUGUAGAGGAAUAUUAUGAAUUAAAAAUAAGAAAAAAUAAAAUCUUGUACCUUUUGUAUCAUGGUUUAACUAGAUAAUACAUUUUAUAUUCUAAAUUUCUCGAAAUCUAAUGAGCUAUUUUUAUUCUUUAUAUUAGAAAAUAAAUAAAUAAUUGUGGCAAAAAUUUUUAAAGAAAUAAAAAUAGAAAUGAAAUUUUAUUCGCAUUAGAUGAUAGCUAGUUCUUUCGAAAAUGUAUAGAAGUACUACAAAUGAAUUUUUUUUCUUUAUAAUAUAGUGUAAGAAAAAUUUUAUUUGAUUAAAUUUUUAAGGAUAAGCUUAAAAAUGAUACAGCUAUAUUUGUAUACUAUUUCUGUAAAAUUUAGCUAAAAUAGCUAUAAUUUUGAUUUUGUUACAAUUUCAUUAGAUUUAAAAGAAAAAUAAUUAAUCUACUAUAAUUAAACGAAAGAAGAUUUUAAAAUUAAUAUAAAAUUACAUUUAUGUUAAAAUGAGUAUAAAUUAUUAUAUUAAUUUUAAAUAUAUUUAUAUUGAAAUUAAUUUAUAUUUUUUGAACAUAAAUUAUAAAAAGGAAUUCGGCAAACACAUAUUCUGCCUGUUUAGCAAAAACAUGGCUCCUUGCUUAAUUAGGAUAGGGAGUCGGACCUGCCCAGUGAAAAUUUUUUUAACGGCCGCAGUACUUUGACUGUGCGAAGGUAGCAUAAUCAUUUGCCUUAUAAUUGAAGGCUAGUAUGAAUGGUUUGACAAGAAUAUAACUGUCUCUUUAUAAUUAAAUAGAAUUUUUUAUAUAAGUGAAGAAACUUAUAUUUAAUUAAUAGACAAGAAGACCCUAUCGAGCUUUAAAAAAAUUAAAAGAUGAAUUUAGUUUAUAGAUACUAGAAAACUAAUUUUAAAAAUUUUGGUUGGGGCGACUGAGGAACAAAUAAAGCUUCCUUUUCAUAAAAAACAGACAGGUAUUGAUCCAAAAAUGUUUUGAUUAAAGAAAUUAGUUACCGUAGGGAUAACAGCAUUAUCUUUUUUGAGAGUUCUUAUCGAAAAAAAGGUUUGUGACCUCGAUGUUGGACCAGAAUAACCUAAAGAUGCAGCAGUCUUUGAGGGUUGGUCUGUUCGACCAUUAAAAUUCUACGUGAUCUGAGUUCAGACCGGCGUGAGCCAGGUCAGUUUCUAUCUUUA